GGACUUUUAGCUCAGUUGGUAGAGCAGAUCCCUCUUAAGGAUAAGGUCCUGGGUUCGAGCCCCGGAAGGUCCACCA
RNAcentral lists this transfer RNA (76 nucleotides) under Candidatus Altimarinota bacterium. Its description in RNAcentral is "tRNA-Lys". It matches the Rfam family "tRNA". Rfam says of the family: Transfer RNA (tRNA) molecules are approximately 80 nucleotides in length. Their secondary structure includes four short double-helical elements and three loops (D, anti-codon, and T loops). Lineage: Bacteria; Candidatus Altimarinota. The record is from RNAcentral.